RNAcentral lists this transfer RNA (76 nucleotides) under Planctomycetota bacterium. Its description in RNAcentral is "Planctomycetes bacterium (soil metagenome) tRNA-Met". It matches the Rfam family "tRNA". From Rfam's summary of the family: Transfer RNA (tRNA) molecules are approximately 80 nucleotides in length. Their secondary structure includes four short double-helical elements and three loops (D, anti-codon, and T loops). Further hydrogen bonds mediate the characteristic L-shaped molecular structure. tRNAs have two regions of fundamental functional importance: the anti-codon, which is responsible for specific mRNA codon recognition, and the 3' end, to which the tRNAs corresponding amino acid is attached (by aminoacyl-tRNA synthetases). tRNAs cope with the degeneracy of the genetic code in two manners: having more than one tRNA (with a specific anti-codon) for a particular amino acid; and 'wobble' base-pairing, i.e. permitting non-standard base-pairing at the 3rd anti-codon position. The record is from RNAcentral. Lineage: Bacteria; Pseudomonadati; Planctomycetota.
GGCGCUGUAGCUCAGGGGUUAGAGCGGAGGCUUCAUAAGCCUUAGGUCGGUGGUUCGAUUCCACUCAGCGCUACCA